Molecule: long non-coding RNA, 805 nt
Filed under: Homo sapiens (human)
Lineage: Eukaryota; Metazoa; Chordata; Mammalia; Primates; Hominidae
Description: HSALNT0290580
Source: RNAcentral
UCUCAAACUCCUGGACUCAAGCAAGCCUCCUACCUCGGCCUCCUGAAGUGUUGGGAUUACAGGCAUGAGCCACGGUGCACAGCAAGAGCUUUAACCUUAAUGACCAUUCAUUCUCUACCCCACAUUACCUACAACUGAUACAGAUUGGGUUUUUCUGGUACCUCUACCUGGAAGGAGAUGAGAGGGCAGAUCUUUCAACAUAAUAAUUCCCCAAAGAUCUACAAGAACCUAUUCAUAUUAUUAAGAUUAACCCUGUGAAGUGGGCAUUAUAAUGAUCCACAAUUUCCAUGAGGGAGUUGAAGCCCAAUGGAGUUGAGCAACUUGCUGAAGGUCACACAGCUCGUAAGUCACAGAGCCAAGAUUCAAACCCAGACACUCAACUCCAGGAUCCACGUCUCUAUCUUUUUAAAGCCCAGUGACUCCACAAACCAGCUCAAAGCCACUCCGCUGGAUGAUGCCUAAGAUACCCUUCAGUCUUCAAGUGUGUCAGCCUAUGAGUAAUAGUCUGAUUGCCUGCUCCUGCAGAGGGCUGCUGCCAUGUCAUGAGCACUCUCAAGCAGCUCUAGCGAGGGGUCAUGUCAUGAGGAACUGAGACCUUCUGCCAAUAGCUGUGUGAAUGAGCCAUCAUGGAGGCAGGUCCUCCAGCCCCAGUCAAGCCUUCAGAUGAUGGCAGCCCCAGCUGAUGAUUUGACUGCAAACUCUCAUGCAACCAGGAAUAAGAACCACUCAGCAGAACCACUCCCAAUUUCCUGACCCACAGAAACUGUGAGAUAAAUAAAUAUUGCUUUAAGCUGCUGUGCUUAGG